RNAcentral lists this ribosomal RNA (446 nucleotides) under uncultured bacterium. RNAcentral describes it as "partial 16S ribosomal RNA". It matches the Rfam family "Bacterial small subunit ribosomal RNA", at positions 338 to 795 of the family's 1533-position model. The record is from RNAcentral.
CCUACGGGUGACUGCAGUCGAGAAUCAUUCACAAUGGGGGAAACCCUGAUGGUGCGACGCCGCGUGAGGGAAUGAAGGUCUCCGGAUUUUAAACCCCUGUCACGUGGGAGCAAGUUAAAAAGAUAGUACCACAAGAGGAAGAGACGGCCAACUCGGUGCCAGCAGCCGCGGUAAUACGGAGGUCUCAAGCGUUGUUCGGAAUCACUGGGCGUAAGGCGUGCGUAGGCUGUUUCGUAAGUCGUGUGUGAACGGCGGGGGCGCAACCCGCGGACGUCCGAUGAUACUGCAAGACUAGAGUAAGGGAGGGGGAACCGGAAUUCUCGGUGUAGCAGUGAAAUGCGUAGAUAUCGGGAGGAACACUCGUGGCGAAGGCGGGUUCCUGGACAUUAACUGACGCUGAGGCACGAAGGCGAGGGGAGCGAAAGGGAUUAGAUACCCUAGUAGUC